AUUGAACGCUGGCGGCAUGCUUUACACAUGCAAGUCGAACGGCAGCGCGGGCUUCGGCCUGGCGGCGAGUGGCGAACGGGUGAGUAAUACAUCGGAACGUGCCCCGUAGUGGGGGAUAGCUCGGCGAAAGCCGGAUUAAUACCGCAUACGACCUGAGGGUGAAAGCGGGGGAUCUUCGGACCUCGCGCUAUUGGAGCGGCCGAUGGCGGAUUAGCUAGUUGGUGGGGUAAAGGCCUACCAAGGCGACGAUCUGUAGCUGGUCUGAGAGGACGACCAGCCACACUGGGACUGAGACACGGCCCAGACUCCUACGGGAGGCAGCAGUGGGGAAUUUUGGACAAUGGGCGAAAGCCUGAUCCAGCAAUGCCGCGUGUGUGAUGAAGGCCUUCGGGUUGUAAAGCACUUUUGGCGGGAACGAAAAGGACUGUGCCAAUACCACGGUUCGAUGACGGUACCCGCAGAAUAAGCACCGGCUAACUACGUG
This 484-nucleotide ribosomal RNA is filed under the name uncultured bacterium. Its description in RNAcentral is "partial 16S ribosomal RNA". It matches the Rfam family "Bacterial small subunit ribosomal RNA", at positions 29 to 507 of the family's 1533-position model. The record is from RNAcentral.